Long non-coding RNA from Macrosteles quadrilineatus (aster leafhopper), 1602 nucleotides. RefSeq lists it as uncharacterized. The record is from RefSeq and is a predicted model, not a curated record. NCBI's taxonomy places the organism in Eukaryota, Metazoa, Arthropoda, Insecta, Hemiptera, Cicadellidae. The transcript is spliced from 2 exons.
CUUCCUAUGCGCUGCUAUGAAUGCUAUGAUUGGUCCUUGGAUUCUAGAAAUCUUCCUCAUUCGUCGCCAGGAUCGCUUGCUCUCCGGACGUUUCUGCUACGAAGCUGGAUUAGACAUUUCUUUUGUCCACUUUUUAGGUGGUCUGUUGGAGUCCCCGUCACAGACUACAGAUGGCGCUGGAUGGCCUGGGAAGCUACUGUCACAGUAGGCCUAGAAUAUCUUUUUCAAUCAACACGUCGUUUUCCAACAUAGUAUUAAGAUAGAGAUAAGUAAUACUUGCAUGCACAUUCAGAGUUGUAUUGUAAACAAUUUUUUAACUUGAUUUGAGAAGUGGUGUCAAGUAGCUGUGCUAAAGGACUGGUUAGCUGAUAAUUAUGCCGGCGAACAUGCAUAUUUCCUAGUAGAAUUUCUAAAUGCACAUUUAUCUAUCAUAAUUUUCCAAGAUUUAAAUCUUUGGAUGCCCAUUUAUGGAUGAAUCUUCCUGAGUACAAAGAGUCACCGUAGCAGACUCGCGCUGUUGGAGAAUUAAAAGUGAAUUUAAGCUUUAGGUUUUAAGCUAAUAAUUUUAUGUUGUAGGCUAUAAUAACAUGAUUUUAUUAAGCCGCCUGAAAUAUAAUAACAGAAACUUGGUUAGAAGAUACAAUAGCCCUUUUGCUUAUGGAACCGAUUUAUGUUUGUGAUAUUUUGGUAUUAGCAUUUCAGGACCCCAAAAUCGCACUAUUUUCCUGCCUCUAAACUUACACUGCUUCUCACAUCGUUUUGUUUAUAGCCUUAUGAGUUUGGUAUUAGGUAGCCUUAUUUUAUGAAAAUUGUUGUACUGUAUAAUAGUUGGAAAAAUUUCUCAAAGAAUAUUCAUGAGCAAUAAUGAAAACCUAUACCUAUGCGACAGACUCUACUUUUAUAAAAUAACAUUAACUUUAUCUAGCAUCUAAUUGUCGUAGACAAGUUUUAUAAGCUGAUAAUGUUAUUAUUUUUGGAGGUUAGAGCAAUUAAAAUGAGGCGAUUUUUAACAUCGUUUUAGUUGAUAUGAUAAUUUCAAUCAAUUCUCAAAGCAAUUUAACCACCUUAGACUUGUACUAUCACUUUUAUUGUAUUGUCGUGUGAAUAUUUAUCGGCGAUCGUUGAUUUAUUAGUUCUUAUUCUAUUGGGAGAAAUUAUUGCAACUAUAUUUGUUAAUUAUUAAAUUUAAUAAACGCCGAUAGUGAUGACAAUAUUGACUUAAUAAGGUUCAAGCUUUGUUGAAAACAUUCUGUCGUCGAUAAGUAACUGUGAUAUCUAGGAAUAAGACUAAAAUAAGUGAAAACAUCAUUUGAAUCUAGUCUUCUGUAAAUAUUUUUCAAUUUACACUUAAGUCAUAGUAUUUUAUAAAUAUAAAUACUGCUUAGCAAUAAUUGUGGUGUUCUUAAACUGGGACAUGGACUAGGACUAUUGUAAGCAGGAUUAGGGUUUCAGGGAGCUAUUGUCCUGAUAUUGUUGAUCCUUGCUUUACAAGCAGAGGAUCCAAAAUCAACAUUAGUUUUACUGGCCCGGCCUGCAAUUUUUUAGCUUCGUUUGUAAAAAGAUGAAUUUCAGCAAUAAAUCUACAUAAAGUUUUCUAUAACA